GGCGGCGUGCUUAACACAUGCAAGUCGAACGAUGAACCACUUCGGUGGGGAUUAGUGGCGAACGGGUGAGUAACACGUGGGCAAUCUGCCCUUCACUCUGGGACAAGCCCUGGAAACGGGGUCUAAUACCGGAUACAACCGCUGACCGCAUGGUCGGGCGGUGGAAAGCUCCGGCGGUGAAGGAUGAGCCCGCGGCCUAUCAGCUUGUUGGUGAGGUAAUGGCUCACCAAGGCGACGACGGGUAGCCGGCCUGAGAGGGCGACCGGCCACACUGGGACUGAGACACGGCCCAGACUCCUACGGGAGGCAGCAGUGGGGAAUAUUGCACAAUGGGCGAAAGCCUGAUGCAGCGACGCCGCGUGAGGGAUGACGGCCUUCGGGUUGUAAACCUCUUUCAGCAGGGAAGAAGCGAAAGUGACGGUACCUGCAGAAGAAGCGCCGGCUAACUACGUGCCAGCAGCCGCGGUAAUACGUAGGGCGCAAGCGUUGUCCGGAAUUAUUGGGCGUAAAGAGCUCGUAGGCGGCUUGUCACGUCGGGUGUGAAAGCCCGGGGCUUAACCCCGGGUCUGCAUUCGAUACGGGCUAGCUAGAGUGUGGUAGGGGAGAUCGGAAUUCCUGGUGUAGCGGUGAAAUGCGCAGAUAUCAGGAGGAACACCGGUGGCGAAGGCGGAUCUCUGGGCCAUUACUGACGCUGAGGAGCGAAAGCGUGGGGAGCGAACAGGAUUAGAUACCCUGGUAGUCCACGCCGUAAACGGUGGGAACUAGGUGUUGGCGACAUUCCACGUCGUCGGUGCCGCAGCUAACGCAUUAAGUUCCCCGCCUGGGGAGUACGGCCGC
RNAcentral lists this ribosomal RNA (837 nucleotides) under Streptomyces sp. IM-7166. RNAcentral describes it as "bacterial SSU rRNA". It matches the Rfam family "Bacterial small subunit ribosomal RNA", at positions 38 to 889 of the family's 1533-position model. The record is from RNAcentral. Lineage: Bacteria; Bacillati; Actinomycetota; Actinomycetes; Kitasatosporales; Streptomycetaceae.